UAUCAAAAACAUGUCUUUAGAAUUUAAUUUAAGGUCUGACCUGCCCACUGAGUUAUAAAUGGCCGCAGUAUUUUAACUGUGCAAAGGUAGCAUAAUCAUUAGUCUUUUAAUUGGAGGCUUGUAUGAAUGGUUGGACGAGGCAUAGGUUGUUUCAUUAAAAUUUAUUGAAUUUUAUCUUUUAGUAAAAAAGCUAAAAUAAUUUUAAAAGACGAGAAGACCCUAUAGAUCUUUAUAAUAAAUGUGUUAUUUUUAUAUAGAAUAUUUUAGAUAUAAUUUGAUUUAUUAUUUUGUUGGGGUGAUGAUAAGAUUUAUAUAACUCUUAUAGAUUAUUUAACAAUAAUAAUUGAAUGUAUGAUCCAUUAAUAGUGAUUGUUAAAAUAAGUUACCUUAGGGAUAACAGCGUAAUCUUUUUAGAGAGUUCAUAUCGAUAAAAAGGAUUGCGACCUCGAUGUUGGAUUAAGAGAUAGUUUUGGGCGCAGCCGUUCAAUUUUUAAGUCAUGUUCGAC
This 506-nucleotide ribosomal RNA is filed under the name Nemestrinidae gen. sp. 'Chile'. RNAcentral describes it as "partial 16S ribosomal RNA". It matches the Rfam family "Bacterial large subunit ribosomal RNA", at positions 1805 to 2585 of the family's 2925-position model. The record is from RNAcentral. Lineage: Eukaryota; Metazoa; Arthropoda; Insecta; Diptera; Nemestrinidae.